AUAUGUACACUUCUAUAUUCAAUGAUUAAUUAGGGUCUAUUUGGCAUUAUUAAUUGAGUUGCUAUUGAUAAAAGCACUACUUUAAAUAUGUUGGUUAGAGGUUAUUAAACAUUGUUUUUAUAUUAAAUUUAACAUGUUUUAGUUAUAAUAACGUUAAAUCAGCAAAACUAUUUCAAAGCUACUUUUUCCAACAACAUCUAUGGUGUUUUUCCAAAAAACCAGUGUUAACCUCAAUGCCAAACGGUCUCUAAAUGACAUUGUGAUGUGAUGUGCAUUUAUUUUUGCCAUAUAAGUAAAUAUGUAUUUAAGAAAUGCAAUAAUUGAAUGUCAAUGAAGGCCAAGUUAGUUGGUUUGGUGAUUAUGUUGGUUAUAAGUGAUAUCACAAAUUAAUGUAAGGUUUAUUGAGAAAUGCCCUUUCGGAGAUAUUUGGAUGAUUUGAUUUGCUUGCUUGCAGUCAUACUGAAUUUAUAAAUUUGCUUCUUGCUUUCAGAUACGAUUGCUUCAUGCUUCUCUUGCAACUUUGUGAUGCUAUUUUCUUUAUAUGAUUUUUUUACAGGUACGGCAAUGCUAAUGUUUGGAA
Molecule: unclassified non-coding RNA, 580 nt
Filed under: Hevea brasiliensis (rubber tree)
Lineage: Eukaryota; Viridiplantae; Streptophyta; Magnoliopsida; Malpighiales; Euphorbiaceae
Source: RNAcentral